CUGAACCAGCCAUGCCGCGUGAAGGAUGAAGGCCCUCUGGGUUGUAAACUUCUUUUAUCUGGGCUUAUUAAGCCUGUUUUCUAACGGGGUUGACGGUACCAGAGGAAUAAGCACCGGCUAACUCCGUGCCAGCAGCCGCGGUAAUACGGAGGGUGCAAGCGUUAUCCGGAUUCACUGGGUUUAAAGGGUGCGUAGGCGGGUUGGUAAGUCAGUGGUGAAAUCUCCGAGCUUAACUGGGAAACUGCCAUUGAUACUAUUUGUCUUGAAUUUUGUGGAGGUAAGCGGAAUAUGUCAUGUAGCGGUGAAAUGCUUAGAUAUGACAUAGAACACCAAUUGCGAAGGCAGCUUACUACACGAAUAUUGACGCUGAGGCACGAAAGCGUGGGGAUCAAACAGGAUUAGAUACCCUGGUAGUCCACGCCCUAAACGAUGAAUACUCGACAUUGGCGAUACACUGUUGGUGUCUGAGCGAAAGCAUUAAGUAUUCCACCUGGGAAGUACGAUCGCAAGAUUGAAACUCAAAGAAAAUUGACGG
Molecule: ribosomal RNA, 535 nt
Filed under: uncultured Chitinophagaceae bacterium
Lineage: Bacteria; Pseudomonadati; Bacteroidota; Chitinophagia; Chitinophagales; Chitinophagaceae
Description: bacterial SSU rRNA
Rfam family: Bacterial small subunit ribosomal RNA
Source: RNAcentral